Mandrillus leucophaeus (drill) is the source of this 435-nucleotide RNA transcript. It is a transcript of the gene named small nuclear ribonucleoprotein E pseudogene, with no coding region annotated. NCBI's taxonomy places the organism in Eukaryota, Metazoa, Chordata, Mammalia, Primates, Cercopithecidae. The transcript has a single exon. The record is from RefSeq and is a predicted model, not a curated record.
CACCAUGGCAUACCGUGGCCAGGGCCAGAAAGUACAGAAGGUUAUGGUGCAGCCCAUCAACCUCAUCUUCAGAAGCUUACAAAAUAGAUCGCAGAUUCAGGUGUGGCUCUAUGAGCAAGUGAAUAUGUGGAUAGAAGGCUGUAUCAUUGGUUUUGAUGAGUAUAUGAACCUUGUAUUAGAUGAUGCAGAAGAGAUUCAUUCUAAAACAAAGUCAAGAAAACAACUGGGUCGGAUCAUGCUGAAAGGAGAUAAUAUUACUCUGCUACAAAGUGUCUCCAACUAGAAAUGAUCAAUGAAGUAAGAAAUUGUUGAGAAGAAUACAGUUUGUUUUUAGAUGUCCUUUGUCUAAUAUGAACAUUUAUUCAUAUUGUUUUGAUUACCCUUGUGUUAUACAAGAUGGCAAUAAAUGCUGUGGGAUUGUUUGUGUUAAAAAAA